AUGUGUGGACAUGACAAUGAAACACUGUUUCACUCGCUUAUGGAGUGUGACCACGCAAAACGUUUUUAGGAAGCAGCAGAACGCUUCUUUGGUAUUGAUAUACCACGGUUACACCCAUCGUCAUGGUCUCGAGAUCUGUUAGAUCCUCGUUUGUUCAAGAAGGAGGUUGUGGCUAUUAUGAUCACUGUGAUGUGGGCGGUGUGGCACUCGAGAAACAAUUAUACUCAUGGUGAGGUAGUAUACCAGCCGGUCAAAUCAAUGGUGAUUAUAGAAGAGAUUAUCAGGGCUCUGGAGAUCCCUGAGAGGAGGAGGGCCCAAGUUACUACUCCCCGGAGGUGGCUACACCUGAGGAUGGGUGGAUAA
This 363-nucleotide ribosomal RNA is filed under the name Triticum aestivum (bread wheat). RNAcentral describes it as "partial small subunit ribosomal RNA". The record is from RNAcentral. Lineage: Eukaryota; Viridiplantae; Streptophyta; Magnoliopsida; Poales; Poaceae.